GAAGUCGAACGAGAAUCUACUGAAAGAGUUUUCGGACGAUGGAAGUAGAGGAAAGUGGCGGACGGGUGAGUAACGCGUGAGGAACCUGCCUUGAAGAGGGGGACAACAGUUGGAAACGACUGCUAAUACCGCAUGAAGCAUAGGGGUCGCAUGAUUCUUAUGCCAAAGAUUUAUCGCUUCAAGAUGGCCUCGCGUCUGAUUAGCUAGUUGGCGGGGUAACGGCCCACCAAGGCGACGAUCAGUAGCCGGACUGAGAGGUUGAACGGCCACAUUGGGACUGAGAUACGGCCCAGACUCCUACGGGAGGCAGCAGUGGGGAAUAUUGGGCAAUGGGCGCAAGCCUGACCCAGCAACGCCGCGUGAAGGAAGAAGGCUUUCGGGUUGUAAACUUCUUUUAAGAGGGAAGAGCAGAAGACGGUACCUCUAGAAUAAGCCACGGCUAACUACGUGCCAGCAGCCGCGGUAAUACGUAGGUGGCAAGCGUUGUCCGGAUUUACUGGGUGUAAAGGGCGUGCAGCCGGGUCUGCAAGUCAGAUGUGAAAUCCAUGGGCUCAACCCAUGAACUGCAUUUGAAACUGUAGAUCUUGAGUGUCGGAGGGGCAAUCGGAAUUCCUAGUGUAGCGGUGAAAUGCGUAGAUAUUAGGAGGAACACCAGUGGCGAAGGCGGAUUGCUGGACGAUAACUGACGGUGAGGCGCGAAAGUGUGGGGAGCAAACAGGAUUAGAUACCCUGGUAGUCCACACUGUAAACGAUGAAUACUAGGUGUGCGGGGACUGACCCCCUGCGUGCCGCAGUAAACACAAUAAGUAUUCCACCUGGGGAGUGCGAUCGCAAGGUUGAAACUCAAAGGAAUUGACGGGGGCCCGCACAAGCGGUGGAUUAUGUGGUUUAAUUCGGAGCAACGCGAAGAACCUUACCAGGGUUUGACAUCCUGCUAACGAAGUA
This 945-nucleotide ribosomal RNA is filed under the name uncultured bacterium. RNAcentral's name for it is "bacterial SSU rRNA". It matches the Rfam family "Bacterial small subunit ribosomal RNA", at positions 58 to 1002 of the family's 1533-position model. The record is from RNAcentral.